Long non-coding RNA from Malus domestica (apple), 1898 nucleotides. RefSeq lists it as uncharacterized. Lineage: Eukaryota; Viridiplantae; Streptophyta; Magnoliopsida; Rosales; Rosaceae. The record is from RefSeq and is a predicted model, not a curated record.
UGCAUUUUCAUGAUGUAGUUUAGAUUUCUGUUCCAUAUUAAUUUCAUAUUUCAUAUUAAAGAAUGUGGACUUAAUUAAAAUAGGAGAAAAUCAUAUAGAGCUCUAGCGGUUCUGAUGAUGGUGUUUUGGAUGUUCGAGGAGAUUUGAUUCAAAUUUAUGGAUUUGGUUUUUCCUGUAGCGAAAGGAUUGUUUUGUUGCAAGGAGCAAUGCUGUCCUACAAUCUGUUUAGGGCUUGGACCUAGUUCUUUCAAGUUUGGGUGCUGUGAGUUUUAAUUCCAGAAGCAAAGUACCCUUAAUUGGCUGCGUUUGGACUCUCAAGCUGUAUAUUGCCCUGUUACUGUUCACGAAUAUUCGGAUAAGCGUUCUAAUUUCAUAGGGAUAGCUGUUAGGCAGCAUCUUCAAUGUUUAUGGUGGAAAAUGGAAUCUGCAACCGAUAAGGCCAAGUAUAGACACUGGUACCAUGUUUGGUUGGUUUAUUCUGCUUUUUUGUUCUUCUGAAUUCUUCUCUUCUCUGAACUUAUGAAAGAAUUCCUGAUGAUGUCACAAUGUUUUACACUAAACUCGGAGUGCCAAUAAAGACCACCGUACAGCUACUGUCUUGGAGGAGGCACUAAACGGCGUGGUCACUACCCGUCCACUUCCAUUGGGGCAGAAAAAGGUUGAAAAGCAAUGUGAUCACUUCUAUUCCUUUACAAUAACCGAAGCGGAAGCAAGAGGUGAAUUUGUCUGCCAAGGGCAGUCGCUUGCAAAGGCAAGUUCAAGCUAUAAUACUUUGAUCAGGAAGAGGUUGGUGGAUUGAGCCUUUGCCUACAGAGGCUUCCUGGGUUUGUAAGAUGGUUUUAUCAAGUCUUCAUCCAUACAGGGGCAACGAGGAUGGGAGUUGAAGUCGAACGCAUCCAUGACACAGAUUCGAAGGUUAUUCAGUAAGUCACUGAUUACGUCAGAUAAAACUGCCUUCAUUUCUUUUUGUGUCCAUGGUCUAAUUUUACUUGGGUGAUUUAAUUCUAUGUGAUGAUUUCUUCUAGGUUUUUUCCAUUUUAUAUUUUAAAUACGUUUAAGGUUUGAGGGAGUCAACGAUGAAAUUUUGGAUGCCGAAAAGAAGAAGACUGGUAUUAUUUCUUCUUUCUUUUUGAGUGAGAAUUUCUUUCUUUUCUAUUGAUUUUGCUUCUUUCUUUUUGUUGUCAAAUGUUUCAAAAUUCGACUCGCAUGUUCAUGUACAUUGUUGAGGAGUGUAUUUUGCCAUUACUAUGCCAUUAUUCUGUCUUUUCAAUAAUUGUUUCUUAAUUUUUCUUCGUAGUCUUUUUCGCAGGACCUUAUAAGCAUAGCAAAGCUUUUUGAAACAAAUUUUUAUAAUGUGUUGCGAAAUGGAUGAUGCAAUAAAAAAAGAAAUACGUUGUGGGUAUCUUUACACGCUAUAAUAGGUUUUCUUUUUGGCAAGUUUGCUUUCUCAUUUGCAUUUAUGGUGCCGUUAUCAUUUACAUUUGCUUCUGCAUGAUUUCUCAUAAAUUGGAUAUCAUUGUAUUUAUUGUAUUUUAACUUUUUUAGCCAAGAAACUGAUUUCAUUCAACAACAGAUUCAUCAAUUACAGGCUGCAAGUGUAAGAUGGUGAAGGCAUCGCCAGUGCCUUCAAAUGAUCGCUUCAUUUUAUUUAUUUUUUGGUUUUUGACAGAUUACAUUAGAUUUUAUUAUUGUUUAUUUGACGAAGUUCUCGAUUAAGAGCAACUACACUUGCAUUAUUCUUCGGGACUAGCAACUGUGAUGGUAUAGUGGCAGAUUUUCUGAUUUACGUCCGAAUUUGAGCAGUUUAUUGGAUCAUAUAGGAAAGAUGAAAAGGGAAUAUAAGAUGAUGUCGAAGAAAGCCUUGCAAAGAGGCUGCCUGCUUAAUUUAGGUACUACAA